GGCGGAAUUGGCAGACGCGCCAGCUUGAGGGGCUGGUGCCCGCAAGGGCGUGGGGGUUCAAGUCCCCCC
Molecule: transfer RNA, 69 nt
Filed under: Acidimicrobiales bacterium
Lineage: Bacteria; Bacillati; Actinomycetota; Acidimicrobiia; Acidimicrobiales
Description: tRNA-Leu
Source: RNAcentral